UGGGGAAUAUUGCACAAUGGGCGCAAGCCUGAUGCAGCCAUGCCGCGUGUAUGAAGAAGGCCUGCGGGUUGUAAAGUACUUUCAGCGGGGAGGAAGGGAGUAAAGUUAAUACCUGUGCUCAUUGACGUUACCCGCAGAAGAAGCACCGGCUAACUCCGUGCCAGCAGCCGCGGUAAUACGGAGGGUGCAAGCGUUAAUCGGAAUUACUGGGCGUAAAGCGCACGCAGGCGGUUUGUUAAGUCAGAUGUGAAAUCCCCGGGCUCAACCUGGGAACUGCAUCUGAUACUGGCAAGCUUGAGUCUCGUAGAGGGGGGUAGGAUUCCAGGUGUAGCGGUGAGAUGCGUGGAGAUCUGGGGGAAUACCGGUGGCGAAGGCGGCCCCCUGGACGAAGACUGACGCUCAGGUGCGAAAGCGUGGGGAGCAAACAGG
This 429-nucleotide ribosomal RNA is filed under the name Chloroflexota bacterium. RNAcentral describes it as "Chloroflexi bacterium partial 16S ribosomal RNA". It matches the Rfam family "Bacterial small subunit ribosomal RNA", at positions 355 to 776 of the family's 1533-position model. The record is from RNAcentral. Lineage: Bacteria; Bacillati; Chloroflexota.